Molecule: ribosomal RNA, 117 nt
Filed under: Sorex araneus (European shrew)
Lineage: Eukaryota; Metazoa; Chordata; Mammalia; Eulipotyphla; Soricidae
Source: RNAcentral
GUUCACUGCCAUACCACCCUGAACACACCUGAUCUACUCUGAUCUCAUAAAUUAAGCAGGUCAGGCAUGGUUACUGCUUGGGAAGUAGCAUCUUUCGUACCUCAGUCAGAGUUAGUU